CGCCCAGCGGAAACUUCACCAGGGUGGGAGGCCUCAUUUUGUCUGCACCUACUUCCAGCUCCGACAGGAGGCGUGGGCCCAGGCAGGACUUUCACCCCCCAGCUCCUCGCCCAUUCGCCCUAGCGUCUCCUCCGCGUGCCUGGACCCACAGGGCAGCCAGCCAGGUGCAGCCAAGUCCCUGCCCUUAGGGAGGCCCCGCCAGAGACCAAGUGAAGAAGGACAGCCCCAGGGAAAGGUCUGGACAACAGGCGCGCUGAGCACUUCACUGGGCUUCCCUGUCGCGGGUUCCAGCCCUAUUCCUGGGCUCAGCAGAUAAUGGGAAUCCCGCGUGUGGGAACCGCUCCGAAAGCCAGACACCUACCCCAGUUCUCCGCGCAGCUGCCCAGGAGCGAGAGGCACACUUAUUUUCUGGCAAGAUGGCUCAGAGUUUAAUAUUUGAAUGUUGAUGUGGAACCCAGGGCAGAAUGCUACUCUAGAUUUCACUAGGGAAUGAGACGUGUGCUGGAAAGUUCCAUGAUGCCUGCCCAACUUUGCACUGAGCAGAUAUGAUUAUCCAAGGAUGCUUCCAGGACUACUGUUAGACAAAAGCAUCAUACAGAGCCUCCAGAAAGAAGGACUGCUCACCUUGACUGACAGCAGUCCACCACAGUGACUUGGGCUGCAACACCACACGGCAUGAAGACUUCCUUGUGUUGCUUGUGUUAUAGUAAAGGCAUCAAUGAAGAUUUUGCGGAUUUGUGCAACAAA
Non-coding RNA from Macaca mulatta (Rhesus monkey), 747 nucleotides. The record is from RefSeq and is a predicted model, not a curated record. NCBI's taxonomy places the organism in Eukaryota, Metazoa, Chordata, Mammalia, Primates, Cercopithecidae.